This is a non-coding RNA of Cricetulus griseus (Chinese hamster), 2102 nucleotides long. Lineage: Eukaryota; Metazoa; Chordata; Mammalia; Rodentia; Cricetidae. The record is from RefSeq and is a predicted model, not a curated record.
UCUAGAAGUCUAUUAAUAUUGUCAUUUUAUAACACUAGCUGUGUCCCAACCUGGGACAUGUGAUCCCUGACCUGUAGAUGGGGUGGCCCAGGGACAGAGCCACUUUGAAGAAUCAGGCCCCUGUCCCCCAUCCCCUCACCACUCCCUCAAGUUAGUUUCACAAUUAAAACAUUUUCUUGUUUCCGGGUGUGUGCUCUGUGAAGGCUGCUGUCCCGCUGUUUGGGGUCUGGGCCUGGGAAUAUAGGCUUCAUUGGAGAGACUCCACCCUGCUCCCUAUAUGGAACAAGUGGGCCUCAACUCUGGAAGCAGCCUGUGGGCCAGAGUACAAGCCCCCACAUCCCAGCGACCUGGAAUUAUUGUUUCUUCCUGAAAAAGAAAACAUUGAUUUGUUGUUUUGAGACAGGGUCUCACUACAUAGUUUUGGGUGGCCUAAACUCACUAUGUAACCUGGUUAGCUUCAAACUUGCAGCACUCCCCUGCCUCUGUCUCCUGAUUGCUGCUGUGAUCACUGGUGAACGCUGACACAGUCACCACACAUGGCCUUGUCCUGGAAAUGUUAUGUGUUGAUCCUAACUAGUGUAGGAACCAGCAGAUGAGUUCUUUGGGGUUGACGAGGCUGAGUAACCUGGAGCUAGCAGCCUGUACUUGGCCAAGGAGAGUCCUCCAAGCCCAGCAAUGGGGGAGAAGGGCGCUAUAGCGGCCAGCACCCUGCCUUUGUUGCCUGAGCACAUCCAUCACUGCUUCUGAGAUUCCCCAAGAGGAAGCUAGCGGAGGAGUGAGGGCCAGCGGGCUCCUGGACACCAGGACUUCAACUCAGGGCUACCCAGUUCACCCGUGUCUACUGCUGCACAGCUCCGGCCUCCAGAGGGUCGGGACCCGUAUGUGGUAGGACCGUGCCAAGUGCCUGGUGAUCUUACAGGCAGCCGGCUGCCUCUUCCCACUCCUGGGUGCCACCCUCCAGCAGGCACAGGUCCUGAGUUCGUGGGGCACAUACUGAUUUUGCAGCAGAGUGAGGAUCUGAAUUCAGGAUAUCUGGACAUGGUUUCUCACCAGGGCACGUCCUUCCCGCCCAGGAGGAAUGGAACCCAGAGCCUCUUGGAAGCACAGUGGUCCCCUAUGUGAGGAGUCCGAGACCAUAGCAAAAGUGCCACCCUGGGGACUUUGCUAGUAAUCGGAUGUUCAGCCUGAUAUGCUGGUGAACUGGGAGUCCAGCCUGAGCUACAAGCUGUGGAACAAACAUCUUGCAUCACCACAUGCUCUCCACAUAGAGUCACUUCAGGCCCAAACCAAAAAAAGGCCAGUGAUAAUUUCUGAUGCCUCCAAAACUGCGAGCCAAAAGAGUCUUUUCUGGGGCUAACUUUACUAGAUUCUAGGGACUUGUGUUUUUUUCUUUCUUGGGGUCUCAUGUAUCCCGGCGCUGUUUGUGAACUCUCUGCCUUAAGCCCUGCCUCCACCUUCUGGACGCUUUCUCCACUGUGUGCCCUUUUCUUCAGCGCUGAGGCUUAAUCCCAGGUGUGUGCCGAGUCAGCACCCUCUAAGCUGAGCUUCACCCCAGUCCAGUUCUGUUAAUUAUAAGCUAACAUCAGACUCCUUGGACAAAUGCUUGUUCUAUUUUAUUUUUUGUCACGUGAACAGUGGCCCACGAGAUCCACCGCUGUACUUAUUUUCUACUUCCUGGAUUUGUACAAAUCCCCUUAAUUAAAAGAGUAGAUAUUCUUGAUGGUUGUGUUUCCUGUCAAGAUAUAAUUAACACAUGAUAAACACACUCAUUUAAAAAAACAUUAAGACAGGGCCAGGUGGUGGAGACACGCAUCUUUGAUCCCAGCACUUGGGAAGCAGAGGCAGGCAGAUCUCUAUGAGUUCAAGGCCAGCCUGGUCUACAAAGUGAGUUGCAGAACAGCCAGGACUGUUACACAGAGAAACCCUGUCUCUUUGACAAAUGCAUCUGCCCAAGUUGCAACUAUUCUUAAGAUGGAACUUUCUAGACCUGGUGUGGUGGUGCAGGACUUUAAUCCCAGCACACAAGAGGCAGAAACAGGUGGAGCCCUGUGAGUUCCAGGCUAGCCUGAUCUACAUAUCUAGUUCCAGGACAGCCUGGACUG